RNAcentral lists this ribosomal RNA (460 nucleotides) under Nymphon australe. Its description in RNAcentral is "partial 16S ribosomal RNA". Lineage: Eukaryota; Metazoa; Arthropoda; Pycnogonida; Pantopoda; Nymphonidae. The record is from RNAcentral.
UUUUUGGUGAAAGUAAAAAGUAGGGUCUGCCCAGUGAGUAAUUUUAACGGCCGCAAUAUUUGUGCGAAGGUAGCAUAAUCAUUUGUCUUUUAAUUGAUGACUGGAAUGAAUGGCUGGACGGGGAUAAGCUGUCUUAUGUAUAUAUAUUUGAAAUUUACUUUUAAGUAAAAAGGCUUAAAUAUUUUAGAGGGACGAGAAGACCCUAUUGAGUUUAAUAGAAUUUAUUUAAAUUUUUCUUAAAUUUUUAUGUAAUCUAUUUAGUUGGGGAGAUUUGAUAUUAUUAACUAUAUAAGAAUUAAUAGACUUUAAGUUUUUAGGAUCAAUAUUUUAUGAGUGUUAAGGUAAAUUACCUUAGGGAUAACAGCGUAAUAUUUUUUUAGAGUUCAAAUCGAUUAAAAUGAUUACGACCUCGAUGUUGGAUUAAGGAACCUAAUUUGGAGAAGAUUUAAUUAGGUAGUCG